CCGUAGCCCAAGAGAUCGGGAUAACACCUGGAAACAGAUGCUAAUACCGGAUAACAACAGAUGAUGCCUAUCAACUGUUUAAAAGAUGGUUCUGCUAUCACUCUUGGAUGGACCUGCGGUGCAUUAGCUAGUUGGUAGGGUAACGGCCUACCAAGGCGAUGAUGCAUAGCCGAGUUGAGAGACUGAUCGGCCACAUUGGGACUGAGACACGGCCCAACUCCUACGGGAGGCAGCAGAC
RNAcentral lists this ribosomal RNA (238 nucleotides) under uncultured Lactobacillus sp. Its description in RNAcentral is "partial 16S ribosomal RNA". It matches the Rfam family "Bacterial small subunit ribosomal RNA", at positions 125 to 354 of the family's 1533-position model. The record is from RNAcentral. Lineage: Bacteria; Bacillati; Bacillota; Bacilli; Lactobacillales; Lactobacillaceae.